This 63-nucleotide transfer RNA is filed under the name Podagricomela nigricollis. RNAcentral describes it as "tRNA-His". Lineage: Eukaryota; Metazoa; Arthropoda; Insecta; Coleoptera; Chrysomelidae. The record is from RNAcentral.
AUCUAAAUAGUUUAAUAAAAAUAUUGAUUUGUGGUAUCAAAGUUAUAAGUUUUAUUUUAGAUU